AUUGAACGCUGGCGGCAUGCUUUACACAUGCAAGUCGAACGGUAACAGGCCGCAAGGUGCUGACGAGUGGCGAACGGGUGAGUAAUGCAUCGGAACGUGCCCAGUCGUGGGGGAUAACGCAGCGAAAGCUGCGCUAAUACCGCAUACGAUCUAUGGAUGAAAGCGGGGGACCGUAAGGCCUCGCGCGAUUGGAGCGGCCGAUGUCAGAUUAGGUAGUUGGUGGGGUAAAGGCGCACCAAGCCAACGAUCUGUAGCUGGUCUAAGAGGACGACCAGCCAGACUGGGACUGAGACACGGCCCAGACUCCGACGGGAGGCAGCAGUGGGGAAUUUUGGACAAUGGGCGCAAGCCUGAUCCAGCAAUGCCGCGUACAGGAAGAAGGCCUUCGGGUUGUAAACUGCUUUUGUACGGAACGAAACGGUCCUGUUUAAUACCUGGGGCUAAUGACGGUACCGUAAGAAUAAGCACCGGCUAACUACGUGCCAGCCGCCGCCGUAA
This 498-nucleotide ribosomal RNA is filed under the name uncultured bacterium. RNAcentral's name for it is "partial 16S ribosomal RNA". It matches the Rfam family "Bacterial small subunit ribosomal RNA", at positions 30 to 523 of the family's 1533-position model. The record is from RNAcentral.